Molecule: ribosomal RNA, 723 nt
Filed under: Fusarium oxysporum
Lineage: Eukaryota; Fungi; Ascomycota; Sordariomycetes; Hypocreales; Nectriaceae
Description: SSU rRNA
Rfam family: Bacterial small subunit ribosomal RNA
Source: RNAcentral
AGGAAUAUUGGUCAAUGGCCUAACGGCUGAACUGGCAACUUGGAGAAGUGGCAAGUCUUCCAGUAUGGGGAGCAAAACAGCUAUGGGUCAAGUCCGAUAUCUUUAGGAGAAGUCUUAUUGUGAGGGCGAGUUAUAUAACACCAUAGGACUGGCCGUCCCAUAUGAAAAGAUUAUAUUAGAAUUGAAUGAAGCUUUGUUUAUAUAUUGAUAAUGACAGUAUAUAUAUCGUGUCUUGACUAAUUGCGUGCCAGCAGUCGCGGUAAUACGUAAGAGACUAGUGUUAUUCAUCUUAAUUAGGUUUAAAGGGUACCCAGACGGUCAAUAUAGCUUAUAAAAUGUUAGUACUUGACUAGAGUUUUAUGUAAGAGGGCAGUACUUGAGGAGGAGAGAUGAAAUUUCGUGAUACCAAAGGGACUCUGUAAAGGCGAAGGCAGCCCUCUAUGUAAAAACUGACGUUGAAGGACGAAGGCACAGAGAACAAACAGGAUUAGAUACCCAAGUAGUCUUUGCAGUAAAUGAUGAAUGCCAUAGGUUAGAUUGAUCAAUUAUAGUCUAGGGUUAGUCUAGCAAACUAAUGCCCUAUGAUAUAAUUCAAAAUAUCUGGUCUAUAAAUGAAAGUGUAAGCAUUUCACCUCAAGAGUAAUGUGGCAACGCAGGAACUGAAAUCACUAGACCGUUUCUGACACCAGUAGUGAAGUAUGUUAUUUAAUUCGAUGAUCCGCA